GCAGGCUGGGUGGAGUCUAUCCCAAACGUUAUACGGUGAGAAGUGAGCUACACUCUGGACACGCUUUACCUCCUGCAGAAGUUUUAAAAGUUUUUCCUCAUAAAACACUUUUGGGGAAUAGCUGAUUUUGACUCAAGCAAAGCAAAAUGUUACUCAGUGAAUGUGUUGAAGCCUGGCAGUAGUUGAUUUAGGACAGAGCACCCUCUGCUGGAGAGUAAAAGUCAAUAAUCAAGCAGGGUUUAUACCUUAAGUAUUAAUGCACUGCAGCUAUUUGUAAUUUUCCUGUAAAAGUUCAUUUAAGAAGUAUUGCUUGAGUAGUCAUGACCAUCAUUUAUGUAGUGCGAUACAUGGAAUAAAAUAUUUUUAUAAAUAGGCUUUUGUCCAAUGUUGUACAAAGAUAGCUGAUAGCAGAUGGUGCUUUGUAUUUUAUGUGACAGCUACCAGGAAAUUAGUUGUUUGUUUUUUUUAGACAUUUCUUUUCUUUCCUACUUUUUUUCUCUGAUGACUACAAUCUAUACUGGAUGUUUUCACACUAACAGUAUAUUUUAAGCAACAUCAUCUGUCUUUUUUCUGGAGUUGCGAUUUAAAUGAUUUAUAUGAUUUAUAUGAUUCCUCAACCUUCCCUCUAGCUCCAUUGGGUCUACAUUUGUGCCUUUGAAUGUGACUUUCCUACAGGUACUGGAUGUAUUGUCAUUCAUUUUAGUGUAUUUAUGCCUUGCUUGAGAUGAAUUAUAAUCAAUUUUGCGAUCUUUGACUUGUCACUUGGUGGAAUCAACAACUCGAGUUUUGUUAUAUUUUAGCUUAAUCACCAAAUGCUUGUGGAUAAGGUUCUUCCAUCGUCCUCAGCAAAGUACUUUGUGCUUAGUCCUGCUCAUAUUCUAACAUACACAGAUAAGAUGGAGAAAAUGGAAGACAGAAAUGUGUUACGCAUUCAAAUAUUAUCAUUAUCAGUGUGUGCAUGUUAGUGUGCUGACAUUAGCAGGGCUUAGAUAGUGCUUAAGUACAGCCUCAUAAAGCUGCUGAUGUAGAUGUAGACUCCAGUUUUAAUAUGUCAGACAUGAUGUAAACUCCAAACCUUUUAUGUUCCGCC
This is a long non-coding RNA of Astatotilapia calliptera (eastern happy), 1090 nucleotides long. NCBI's taxonomy places the organism in Eukaryota, Metazoa, Chordata, Actinopteri, Cichliformes, Cichlidae. The record is from Ensembl.